RNAcentral lists this ribosomal RNA (247 nucleotides) under uncultured bacterium. Its description in RNAcentral is "partial 16S ribosomal RNA". It matches the Rfam family "Bacterial small subunit ribosomal RNA", at positions 796 to 1041 of the family's 1533-position model. The record is from RNAcentral. RNAcentral also lists the same sequence under 1 other name.
CACGCCGUAAACGGUGGAUGCUGGAUGUGGGGCCCGUUCCACGGGUUCCGUGUCGGAGCUAACGCGUUAAGCAUCCCGCCUGGGGAGUACGGCCGCAAGGCUAAAACUCAAAGAAAUUGACGGGGGCCCGCACAAGCGGCGGAGCAUGCGGAUUAAUUCGAUGCAACGCGAAGAACCUUACCUGGGCUUGACAUGUUCCCGACGGUCGUAGAGAUACGGCUUCCCUUCGGGGCGGGUUCACAGGUGG